CCUAAUCAAACACUGAAACAAAAAACGUCAUAGCUAAACAAUCGCGAUGUUGAAGAAUGGAAGAAUCUCUGCUAUCAUAUGAAACCUAGGGUAGCGUUUUCAUUAAACGAUCGCAAUGUUGAAGAAUCUCUGCUAAACGAUUGCAGUUAACUGAAUCUUCUCAGGGAAUCCUCACCUCAUUUUGACGUGUCUGGUAUUCAAGCUAAGAAAUAGUGGAGUUGAAGAUUUAUGUUAAUAGAGUUGAAGAUUUAGAGUGAAAGCUGCAAUUUAACUGCUGCUCAGGCAAUGGAAGUUCUGAAUUUCACUCCUUUAAAUGGCAAACUGAUUCGGAUUAUGUAUUCUAAUUGUAACCCGACUAUUCGUAAAAGCAGCGCAGGCAACAUUUAUAUCAAGAAUUUGGACAAAACAAUUGACAACAAAGCUUUACAUGACGCAUUCUCCACAUUUGGAAAUAUCUUAUCUUACCCGACUAAUAACGAAGGCUCUUUUAUAUUUUGAGAAAAAUAGAAACAAGAUCAGGAGAAGAAAAAAACAAGAAUGGAGGAAGGAGACAGAAAAGAAUCAUCAAAAGAAAUAUAACACUGUUAGGACAACGUUUUGUACACCUUAUGCAACAUAAAAUUUUGUUACUGCUGGACUUAUUGUUAUGUUGAAAAUAUUUUUUUGUGCACCUCACUGCUGGUGCUUUAUAUAGUUCAGCAAGUAAUUGACAAAUUAUGCACAUGUUCAAUAUCUGGAAUCUAUAACUUUGGAAUGAUGAUAUUUUUGUUAA
This is a long non-coding RNA of Mercurialis annua (annual mercury), 772 nucleotides long. RefSeq lists it as uncharacterized. The record is from RefSeq and is a predicted model, not a curated record. The transcript has 5 exons. Lineage: Eukaryota; Viridiplantae; Streptophyta; Magnoliopsida; Malpighiales; Euphorbiaceae.